Molecule: non-coding RNA, 80 nt
Organism: Schistosoma mansoni
Lineage: Eukaryota; Metazoa; Platyhelminthes; Trematoda; Strigeidida; Schistosomatidae
Source: Rfam
AGUCCUCUGUACCCGUGCUGAGAUUUCGUCAAAUACCAAACCACAAGGGCUGAUGAGACACUCUCAAGAUAAGUGAAGUG